CGGAGCACGCCGCGUGAGUGAUGAAGGCUUUCGGGUCGUAAAACUCUGUUGUUAGGGAAGAACAAGUGCUAGUUGAAUAAGCUGGCACCUUGACGGUACCUAACCAGAAAGCCACGGCUAACUACGUGCCAGCAGCCGCGGUAAUACGUAGGUGGCAAGCGUUAUCCGGAAUUAUUGGGCGUAAAGCGCGCGCAGGUGGUUUCUUAAGUCUGAUGUGAAAGCCCACGGCUCAACCGUGGAGGGUCAUUGGAAACUGGGAGACUUGAGUGCAGAAGAGGAAAGUGGAAUUCCAUGUGUAGCGGUGAAAUGCGUAGAGAUAUGGAGGAACACCAGUGGCGAAGGCGACUUUCUGGUCUGUAACUGACACUGAGGCGCGAAAGCGUGGGGAGCAAACAGGAUUAGAUACCCUGGUAGUCCACGCCGUAAACGAUGAGUGCUAAGUGUUAGAGGGUUUCCGCCCUUUAGUGCUGAAGUUAACGCAUUAAGCACUCCGCCUGGGGAGUACGGCCGCAAGGCUGAAACUCAAWGAAUUUUGACGGAA
This 541-nucleotide ribosomal RNA is filed under the name Bacillus anthracis (anthrax bacterium). Its description in RNAcentral is "bacterial SSU rRNA". It matches the Rfam family "Bacterial small subunit ribosomal RNA", at positions 387 to 918 of the family's 1533-position model. The record is from RNAcentral. Lineage: Bacteria; Bacillati; Bacillota; Bacilli; Caryophanales; Bacillaceae.